Molecule: long non-coding RNA, 693 nt
Filed under: Malus domestica (apple)
Lineage: Eukaryota; Viridiplantae; Streptophyta; Magnoliopsida; Rosales; Rosaceae
Description: long non-coding RNA (MDOM_LNC003630)
Source: RNAcentral
ACUAACAUGUCCAAGGCUGCUACCAUAUAAAUGCUUAACAAAGGAACACACUUAUCUUGAACACACUAACAAAUUGAUUGAUAUCAUUGCAUCCCAUUAGUAUGUUUAUCCAAGAAUGAUAAUGCUUUGUUCAUUCUAUGAGAUUACCACUUCAUUUAUUUUGCAUUUUUGGAUAGUCUUUUACUUAGUUCUUUUUUUUCUUCCUACAAUUGUAAUCAUAACCAACAAACAAACCAGAAGUAAAUUAUAUUAGCACUAGACUGUAAAGGGGCAUCACCUCUCUAUUGCAUUUUAUCAAGCAGUUGGAGGGCAUAUAUGAAGGGUAACUCCAACCUUCAAAAGAGCAGCACUUAAGUCAUCCAUGGAGAUUCAUCGGAGUUCAGAAGGUCAGCUAACCCCAUUGCCCCUAAGUCGAUCAACCCAUGUGUGCUCGUCCCACCUGAUUUCUAACCUAGAAUGGGUUUUCAGUUCUAUGCAAUUCCCUUAAUAGUUUGCAGAACAAGUUCAGUUUCUGCUACUAUUCACAGGUUGGUUAGAGACGGCAGAACCCUUAACUAAGGGUUUUAAUGGCAUCACAAAUGCCAUUUAAGAAAGGGUAUUCUAGUAUUUUAAAUUAGUUGUUCAAGGGUGUUUACGAUAUUUAAUGUAAUAUCAUAACAAAUGCCAAUUAAUGAAGGGUAUUCUUGUAUGGCU